GAUGAACGCUGGCGGCGUGCCUAAUACAUGCAAGUCGAGCGAACAGACGAGGAGCUUGCUCCUCUGAUGUUAGCGGCGGACGGGUGAGUAACACGUGGAUAACCUACCUAUAAGACUGGGAUAACUUCGGGAAACCGGAGCUAAUACCGGAUAACAUGUUGAACCGCAUGGUUCAACAGUGAAAGACGGUCUUGCUGUCACUUAUAGAUGGAUCCGCGCCGCAUUAGCUAGUUGGUAAGGUAACGGCUUACCAAGGCAACGAUGCGUAGCCGACCUGAGAGGGUGAUCGGCCACACUGGAACUGAGACACGGUCCAGACUCCUACGGGAGGCAGCAGUAGGGAAUUUUCCGCAAUGGGCGAAAGCCUGACGGAGCAACGCCGCGUGAGUGAAGAAGGUCUUCGGAUCGUAAAACUCUGUUAUUAGGGAAGAACAAAUGUGUAAGUAACUAUGCACGUCUUGACGGUACCUAAUCAGAAAGCCACGGCUAACUACGUG
This 497-nucleotide ribosomal RNA is filed under the name uncultured bacterium. RNAcentral's name for it is "partial 16S ribosomal RNA". It matches the Rfam family "Bacterial small subunit ribosomal RNA", at positions 28 to 507 of the family's 1533-position model. The record is from RNAcentral.